UUUUUUCUUUUUUUUUUUUUUUUUUUUGCCUUUUUUUUUGCCAUUUCUUGGGCCGCGCCACAACGGGAACUCCUAGAGGUAUAUAUUCUUACAUGGUCACCAUUUCCUAGAAGUUGUAUUCUGUGGAAUAAAUUUAGGAAAUACUGAGCUGUAAAAAUGUUAAAACAGUUUAUUUGCCAGACACUUGCCUAUGCCUUUAAUAUGAUGUUAUUUAAUGUGAAUCUCAAGCCACUGAAUCUUUUAUUUAGACAUAGAAUAUCUAAGAGUAACAUAUAUUAGAAUACAAUAAGACAGAUCUAUUUUUUCAUUUUUAGGGCCACAACUACAGCAUAUGGAAGUUCCCAGGCUAGGGGUCAAAUUGGACCUGCAGCAUCUGGCCUACACCACAGCCACACAGGAUCCAAGCCACAGCCGCGACCUAUGUUGCAACUUGCGGCAAUGAUGGAUCCUUAAGCCACUGAGCAAGGCCAGGGAUCGAACCUGCAUCCUCAUGGAUACUAGUUGGGUUCUUAAUCCACUGAGCCACAAUGAGAACUCCAUUUAAAAAAAAUUUUUAAACCAAAGUUGAUUUACAAUAUAGUGUUAGUUUCAGGUGUACAGCAGGGUGAUUAAGUUUCAUUUUUUUCAUAUUCUUUUCCAUUAUAGGUUAUUACAAGACACUGAAUAUAGUUCCCAGUGCUAUACAGUAAAACCUUCGCUGGGGUCUGCCCACCAUGGGCUCCAGCAGAUCCUUCAGGGAUCACCUCCCCAACAGCUGCCCAUGAGCCACAGUUCAGCAGUGGGCAGCCACCACUGUGUACUCCUUGCAGUGGCCUCUGCCUAGGAAGGCCCUGCCACUGUUGUGAGAACACCGUGUACCUAUCAAGAACAGGAUAACUGCUAUUUCAGUUUUGCCAGGCUAAGAGGACAGAGCAGUGAUGGCUUCCAUCCAAAAGUGGAGAUAUCACCCAAGCCAGAGUGAUGUCCCCCAGGGGUGCCCCCAGUCCCACUGGCACCCACAUAACCAAACUCGGGAAAGCAGCUCCCAUACCUCAGCCCGGACCAUGUGUAAAGGCAAGAUGGGUGCAGAAAUUACAAAUCAUUUCAGAGCUUCCCAACCACUUUCACCCAAUCUCCCUCAUUUGUCUCUCCAAGUCCCAUAAUGUAGGAAGAGAUGAUUACCCCAUUUUACAGAUGAAGAACCAAGACUCGGCAAUUCAGAAAGUCUCACGAUAUAUGUUAUCACUUAGGACAAUAAACUCAGCCUUCCUAAUAUGUUGGCUCUAUUAUUCAUGUUUAUUCUACGUAACAAACACCUGUCUUCCUAGUGGCAAAAUCUGCAAGGAGGAAGACAUAUCAAUGGAUGAGGAAUUAGUAUAAAGAUGAGUAGUCAAAGAGACGUGAUAGAGGAUCAAAGGUAGCAAGAAUGAGAGAGAAACAAAGUCAGAACAUAUGCUAAAUCAACAAAGAUUUAAUUUCUAAAGAUUUGUGUGUGGUCUUUGCUACUAUUCAGAAUCGUUUCUUGAGCAGCUAAUAUAACAUAGCUAGAAGCAGCCUUUGAUUGGUAUGUUUUGUAUACCAGGGAGCAUGGAACCUGACAAGAAGCAAAGGGAGAGAAGGAUUACUCAGCUUAGUGAGACACCUGGAAACAGAGGCUGCAAAGAAGUGUUGGAUAAAAGGAAACAACAAAAGGUAAAAGGUCCAAUAAGCUGGAAAAAAAACAAGGGUUAAGGAACAAGAUGAGGGUAAAAGAAGUUGGAGGUGCCAAGGAGACAAAAGACCAGCACAAAAAGAAAAGGUGAGAUAAAGGACAGUUGAGAGAACCUGCGGUCAGAGAUGGCAGAAUGGGGGUGCCCAGCCUCUGCUCAUUCUCAUACCUCACUAAAUGACAGUAACAGGAAAAAGAAAAAAAAAAGCACAAACCCUGGAGGAUAAAAAAGAACUGAAACUACAGCCGCAACAAAUUCUGAAAUUUGGAAAGCAGGUGGAUAAGUAAGAAGUGACUGAGCAGACCUGAGAAAACUGAAUCUGGGGAAUCUGAAUCUAGCACUAGAGAAGCAAGGAGACUUACACUACGAAAAUUCAAAAGGCUCAGGAAUGGGCCAGAGUAGUUCCCUCUGGAAAUGAGGGUGAAAGUGGGUUACAAACAGGAAGGCUUGUUGAAAGAUUCUUUAAGAAAAUUAGAUCUUUGCCCUUCCUCCAUGCAGCCAAGAGAAUGUCCUCUCCUAACCCUAGCAGACUACACAUUUAUUAUCUAGAAGGCAAAACAGUGUCUUCAGAAUGGGGGACUCAGCACAGUUGAGAGGAUGGACCCCAUAUUGAAAAAGUAAGAGGCAAUGCAGAGAUGACUUACAGAGAUGCACUCAGCUAAAGUGAAGGAGUAAACAAAAAGAUGAAGACAUGAGACUCAGAAAAUAGAGGAUGCAACACACAAAGCAAAGGAAAUCCCUUGGUAGCUGGAGAAAGGUGAUCCCAUCUCCGGGGGUGCCACAUAACCAGACCAACCCAUCUACACCAGAGUGGGUCAGAAGACUCCAGGACGGAAAAGGGAACCCUCCUACACUGCUGAUAGGACUGUAAAUUGGAACAACUGUAUGGAGAACAGCAUGGAGGAUCUUUAAAAAGAACUACCAUAUGAUCCGACAAUCCUAUUCCUGGGCAUGUAUCUGUAGAAAACCAUAAUUUGAAAAGAUACAUGCACCCCAAAGUUCAAUGCAGAACUAUUUACAACAGCCAAGACAUGGAAGCAACCUAAAUGUCUAUCGAUAGAGGAAUGGAUAAAGAAGAUGUAGUAAUAUGUAUAAUGGAAUAUUACUCAGCCAUAAAAAAGAACGAAAUAAUGCUAUUUUCAGCAAUAUGGAUGCAACUAGAGAUUAUCAUACUAAGUAAAGUAAUUCAAAGACAAAUAUCAUAUAAUAUCACUUAUACGUGGAAUCUAAAAAAAAAGCGAUACAAAGGAACUUAUUUACAAAACAGAAACAGACUCAUAUACUUUUUUUUUUUUUUUUUGGUCUUUUUGCUAUUUCUUGGGCCGCUCCCUAGGCAUAUGGAGAUUGCUAGACAUACAAUUGCUGGAUUCCAAGUUAAACUUUAAUCCUGCUCUGAGUUACUGCCAAAUAUUCUUCUCAAAAAGAUGAUACCAAUUAAUAUUUCCGUUAAGCAUUUUAAAAUGACUCUUGGGGAAUUCCCACUAUAGUGCAGUAGGUUGAGGACCCAGCAGAUCCAAAUAAAAUAAAAAAUAAAUGGUCCAAGCCAAGACUUUAUUUAUUUAUUUAUUUAUUUGGCUUCUCCCACAGCAUGUGAAAGUUCCCAGCCAGGGAUUGUGCCUACACCACACCAGCCGCUGCAGUGACAAUGCCAGAUCCACAACCCACUGUGCCAGAGGGAACUCCAAAAGCAGACAUUUCUGUUCAGUGACCCCAGGCAUGGCCUUAGAAUUCUCCACGACAUGGAUUUCCAACCAAGAGGAAGGAGCGGGCAUCUCAAACUAUAUGCUAUCCCUGCAGUAAACUAUGCUGCCUCUCACUUGAUACUAGUUCAUGAUAUUUCCUGAGGGGCAGGACCUACUUUGGCUAUAUUUGUGUAUAUUUGCACAAGUGUGCAUAUACAAUGAACUGUUUUCAUCUUUUUUGAGACAGGAAGCACAGCUGGUUGGCCUAGGACAGGGUAAGAAGACAGCAUCAGUACAGAAUGGAAACAAAGCUGGCAGGCACAGUACCCGGCUAUAUUCAACUGCACUUACCUCUUUUCCAUAGAAGGAACUAUAAAUUCAAGAGGAAGAAUCCUGCUUUUGUUUUCAACAUGCUAUAUAGUUCCUCAAUAAAUCUUCUUUUAUCUGUACUCUAAUUUUUCUCUUCGUUAAAAAGUGUAUACUCUAUUUUUUAAGGUGUAAAGAAAUUCUGAAAUCUAUGUAAUUCAUAACUAUAAACAAAAUUUAACUAGAUAAAGCAAAAAAUACAAGAUAUUAUAAAAUAAUUAAAUUAUAAUUUAAAAAUACCACUUUGUGUCACACUAUUUAUUCAACCAAAAAACAUUCACUAAACCCCUACCAAAUACCAAGUUUUUCCUAGACAAUAGGAACAGAAAAAUGAACAUCAAGACUCAGUCCUUGUUCUAAGCAAGGCCAGAGAUCAAAACUGCGUCCUCAUGGAUACAAGUCAGAUUCGUUUCCACUGAACCACUACGGGAACUCCAUAAAAGCUUUAAACUGAAAAAAUGUUUUUAGCUCCUGGAUCAUUAAAAAAAAAAAAAAAGUAAUUGACUGGAUUCAGUUUUUUGGCCUUAGUUUUGCUCACCCUGCAUUUGGGAAAACUGAGAUAAAUAAAGCAGUGGCUUGAAGGAGAGAAUAAUCAGUUUUGCAAAGGCAAAAAUAAAACGCUUCACAGAGAAGUGGUGCUGAUUUGAACCUUGGAGAAUAAGUAAAAUCCUCCAGGAGAACAAGGGCAAGAUAUAUCUUAAACAAAGAGAUUAGAAAGCUAGAAAUAGUUUGGCAGUAAGAACAAUCUUGAGGGGGCUCCUUCUCUGGCACAGUGGGUUGAGAAUCCAACUGCAGUGGCUCAGGUCACUACAGAGGUGCGGGUCAAUCCCUGGCCCAGUGCAGUGGGUUACAGGAUCUGGCGUUGCUGCAGCUGUGGCUUGGAUUCAAGCCCUGGCUUGAGAAGGUCCAUAUGCCACAGGUACAGUCAUUUAAAAAAAAAUCUUGAAAAAGAACAAAGAUUGGAGGACUCACACUUUCCAAUUUCAAAACUGAUUUGGGGUGGGGAGGGUGCUGCAGCAGUGGCAUACAGAAGUUCCCAGGCCAGGGAUCGAACCUGCACCACAGAAGCAGAGUGUUGUUUAGAGUGACAACACCAGAUCGUAACUCACUGCACCAUAAAAGAACUCCUCAAAACUGAUUUUUGACAAAGGUGCCAAGAAAGGUCAAUGGAGGAAAGAAGUAUUUUCAAAAAAUGGUGCUGGGACAACUGAACAUCCACCUGCAAAAGAAUGCAAUCUGAACCCCUACCUCAGAGAAGUAUACAAAAAACAUCAUAUACAAAAAAUUAACUCAGAGUAAAGAUCUAAAGGUAAGAGCUCAAACUAUGUAACUCUUAGAAGAAAACAUAGGAAUAAAUCUUUGGGAUUUUGGGUAAGGCAACUGUUUCUUAGAUAUGACACCAAAAGCAUGCACAACCAAAGAAGAAAUAAAUUGGACUUCAUCAAAAUUAAAAACUUUUGUGUUCAAAACUCUUUGUUCUAUCAAGAAAGAACCCACAAAGUGGGAGAAAAUAUUUGCAAAUCAUAUAUCUAAAAAGGGUCCAGUAACUACAAUAUAUAAUAAACUUGUAAUUCAACAAUAAAGAGACAACCCAUUUACAUAACCUACCAGGAAUCUAUUAUCAAAAAAUCAGGUAAUAAGUGCUGGCAAUGAUAUGGAGAAAUGAGAAUCCUUGUACAUUGCCUGGGGGGCUGUAAAAUGGUGCAGCCACUCGGGAAAGUCUACUAAUUCCCAAAAAGCUAAACACAGAGUUACCAUGUAAUGUAACCCAGAUAUUCCACUCCUAGAUAUAUACAAGACAGCUGAAAAUAUAUGCCCACAUAAAAACUUGGACAUGAGGAGUUCCCAUUCUGGCUCAGUGGUUAAUGAAUCCAACUAGGAACCAUGAGGUUGUGGGUUCGAUCCCUGGCCUUGCUCAGUGGGUUAAGGAUCCGGUGUUGCUGUGAGCUGUGGGGUAGGUCGCAGACGCAGCUCAGAUCC
This 5716-nucleotide long non-coding RNA is filed under the name Sus scrofa (pig). RNAcentral describes it as "lncRNA (ENSSSCG00040022142.1)". Lineage: Eukaryota; Metazoa; Chordata; Mammalia; Artiodactyla; Suidae. The record is from RNAcentral.